AGAAAAGGAGGGGCGUACGCGGGCAAGAUGGAGGCGACUACGGCUGGUGUGGGCCGGCUAGAGGAAGAGGCGUUGCGGCGAAAGGAACGGCUGAAGGCCCUACGGGAGAAAACCGGGCGCAAGGACAAGGAAGAUGGGGAGCCAAAGACCAAGCAUCUCAGAGAAGAGGAGGAAGAAGGCGAGAAGCACAGGGAACUUAGGCUGCGGAACUAUGUCCCGGAGGAUGAGGACCUGAAGAAGAGGAGGGUGCCCCAGGCCAAACCGGUUGCAGUGGAGGAGAAGGUGAAGGAGCAGCUGGAGGCCGCCAAGCCCGAGCCCGUCAUCGAGGAGGUGGUGAGUGCCUGGGCCACCCUGGCAUCCUCGCUGCUUCUGUGUGUUCUGUUUCUCUUCGCCACUUGCUCUUCCUCUGCCCCCCAUUCCUUCUUGUCACUUCUUUAUUCCCUUCCCACCUGCCUCUUUGCCCUCAUCCCUCUCCUUCCGCCUUCUCCUUCUCCCAUUUCCCUCCUUCUUGAGCCUUCCCUCCCCCUUGUCCUGGGGCGGCCCCUCCACCCUGAUGUGUGUCUCCUCCUUUCCCAGGACCUGGCCAACCUCGCUCCUCGGAAGCCUGACUGGUGAGUGUUGCCCGUGCAGGGCUGGUGCAGGCUGACUCGGGGGCUCUUGGUGCCAGCAUGGGCCUGGGGCUUGGCCCUUCCUGCCGUCACAGUGCAGAGACUGGCAGUACAGACAUAGAGUUACAUGAGAUAGCUACUGUUGGAAACCAGUGCUGAGGAGGACAUAAGUGGUGGGAUGAGAGGAGUGAUGGAGGGGGCUUAGGCGCGGGGAGCAGCAGGCCCCUCAUGAAGGCCCUCCUGAGAGGUUGAGAGCCCAUCUGCUCCAGAGCUCCCAUUUGAGCAA
This 894-nucleotide small RNA is filed under the name Pongo abelii (Sumatran orangutan). RNAcentral describes it as "retained intron". Lineage: Eukaryota; Metazoa; Chordata; Mammalia; Primates; Hominidae. The record is from RNAcentral.